AUUGAACGCUGGCGGCGUGCCUAACACAUGCAAGUCGAGCGGUAACAGGUGUAGCAAUACAUGCUGACGAGCGGCGGACGGGUGAGUAACGCUUGGGAAUCUGCCUAUCAGUGGGGGACAACCCGGGGAAACUCGGGCUAAUACCGCAUACGAUCUACGGAUGAAAGGCCGGGGACCGCAAGGCCUGGCGCUGAUAGAUG
This 200-nucleotide ribosomal RNA is filed under the name uncultured bacterium. Its description in RNAcentral is "partial 16S ribosomal RNA". It matches the Rfam family "Bacterial small subunit ribosomal RNA", at positions 30 to 227 of the family's 1533-position model. The record is from RNAcentral.